Molecule: transfer RNA, 73 nt
Filed under: Ailuropoda melanoleuca (giant panda)
Lineage: Eukaryota; Metazoa; Chordata; Mammalia; Carnivora; Ursidae
Rfam family: tRNA
About the family: Transfer RNA (tRNA) molecules are approximately 80 nucleotides in length. Their secondary structure includes four short double-helical elements and three loops (D, anti-codon, and T loops).
Source: Rfam by way of RNAcentral
ACCCAGCUGGCUCAGUCAGUGGAGCAUGUGACUCUUGAUCUCAGGGUUGUGAGUUCAAGCCCCAAGUUGGGUG